GUGCCAGCAGCCGCGGUAAUACGUAGGUGGCAAGCGUUAUCCGGAAUUAUUGGGCGUAAAGCGCGCGUAGGCGGUUUUUUAAGUCUGAUGUGAAAGCCCACGGCUCAACCGUGGAGGGUCAUUGGAAACUGGAAAACUUGAGUGCAGAAGAGGAAAGUGGAAUUCCAUGUGUGGCGGUGAAAUGCGCAGAGAUAUGGAGGAACACCAGUGGCGAAGGCGACUUUCUGGUCUGUAACUGACGCUGAUGUGCGAAAGCGUGGGGAUCAAACAGGAUUAGAU
RNAcentral lists this ribosomal RNA (279 nucleotides) under uncultured Staphylococcus sp. RNAcentral's name for it is "partial 16S ribosomal RNA". It matches the Rfam family "Bacterial small subunit ribosomal RNA", at positions 505 to 783 of the family's 1533-position model. The record is from RNAcentral. Lineage: Bacteria; Bacillati; Bacillota; Bacilli; Caryophanales; Staphylococcaceae.